ACUGCACUAAUAUUAAAAAUUCUCACAGA
RNAcentral lists this small RNA (29 nucleotides) under Bombyx mori (domestic silkworm). RNAcentral's name for it is "ovarian small RNA-11695". Lineage: Eukaryota; Metazoa; Arthropoda; Insecta; Lepidoptera; Bombycidae. The record is from RNAcentral.